Molecule: ribosomal RNA, 497 nt
Filed under: uncultured bacterium
Lineage: Bacteria
Description: partial 16S ribosomal RNA
Rfam family: Bacterial small subunit ribosomal RNA
Source: RNAcentral
GAUGAACGCUGGCGGCGUGCCUAAUACAUGCGAGUCGAGCGAACAGACGAGGAGCUUGCUCCUCUGAUGUUAGCGGCGGACGGGUGAGUAACACGUGGAUAACCUACCUAUAAGACUGGGAUAACUUCGGGAAACCGGAGCUAAUACCGGAUAACAUGUUGAACCGCAUGGUUCAACAGUGAAAGACGGUCUUGCUGUCACUUAUAGAUGGAUCCGCGCCGCAUUAGCUAGUUGGUAAGGUAACGGCUUACCAAGGCAACGAUGCGUAGCCGACCUGAGAGGGUGAUCGGCCACACUGGAACUGAGACACGGUCCAGACUCCUACGGGAGGCGGCAGUAGGGAAUCUUCCGCAAUGGGCGAAAGCCUGACGGAGCAACGCCGCGUGAGUGAAGAAGGUCUUCGGAUCGUAAAACUCUGUUAUUAGGGAAGAACAAAUGUGUAAGUAACUAUGCACGUCUUGACGGUACCUAAUCAGAAAGCCACGGCUAACUACGUG